This 553-nucleotide ribosomal RNA is filed under the name Platycryptus undatus. RNAcentral describes it as "partial 16S ribosomal RNA". The stretch from base 166 to 464 matches the Rfam family "Bacterial large subunit ribosomal RNA", at positions 2071 to 2649 of the family's 2925-position model. The record is from RNAcentral. Lineage: Eukaryota; Metazoa; Arthropoda; Arachnida; Araneae; Salticidae.
UUAAUAGUAAGAUCUGCUCAAUGAAUAUUCAAUAGCCGCAAUCUCGUGCUAAGGUAGCAUAAUCAUUUGUCUUUCAAAUGAAGACUAGAACAAAAGAUUUAACAUUUCAGUUAUUUUAUUUAUAAAAAUUUCAAAAUUUUCCUAAAAGUAAAAAGACUUUUAUAAUAUAGAAAGACGACAAGACCCUAUUGAACUUAACUUUAGUUAAACUGGGGCAGUUAAUUAAUUAUUAUUUUAAUAAUAAUAUAACUAUAAAUAUCCAAUAUAUUGAUAAUCCAGUUACCAUAGGGAUAACAGCAUAAUUAAAUUCUAAAGACCUUAUUUAAAAUAUAGAUUAUGACCUCGAUGUUGAAUUAAUAACCUAAUUUAAGCAAGAUUUAAUAAAGGAAGUCUGUUCGACUUUUAAAAAAUUACAUGAUUUGAGUUCAGACCGGUGUAAGCCAGGUCGGUUUCUAUCUUCUAUAAAGUUUUUUGUAGUACGAAAGGACCUAAAAAUAUUUUAUUAUAAUAUUGGCAGAACAAUGCAUUAGAAUUAGAAUCUAAUUAAUCUUAU